Molecule: ribosomal RNA, 2124 nt
Filed under: Triticum aestivum (bread wheat)
Lineage: Eukaryota; Viridiplantae; Streptophyta; Magnoliopsida; Poales; Poaceae
Description: partial small subunit ribosomal RNA
Source: RNAcentral
AUGGCGUCGUCCGACGACUGGGGCGACGACGCGGCCGGCGGGGAGUGGACCACCGUCACCCGCUCCGGCCGGCCCAGCCACGCCGGCGCGGCCGGGUGCUCCCCCAACGCCAAGCGGGCCGCUCCCCGGCCCCCCAAGCCGGCCGCGCCGACGGUGGGCGAGGUCGGCGAGGGGCUGGCGGGGCUCGACGUCGAGGGCGGCGGGGGCCGGGCGGGGAGGCUGGACAAGUACGACAUACCGGUGGAGGUGAGCGGCGACGGCGCGCCCGCGCCGGCGGACGGGUUCGAGCAGGCCGGGCUCGCGGAGGCCGUGCUGCGGAACGUCGCGAGGUGCGGCUACGACCACCCCACGCCCGUGCAGCGCUACUCGAUCCCGAUAGUGCUGUCCGGGAGGGACCUCAUGGCGUGCGCGCAGACCGGGUCCGGCAAGACCGCCGCGUUCUGCCUCCCGGUGGUCAGCGGGCUGGUGGCGGCGGCGGCGGCGGAGGGAGGGCCAGGAGGCGAAGGGGGUCGCGGCGACAGGGAUGCGUACGACUACGACUACCGCCGCACGGCGAGGCCGCUCGCUCUCGUGCUCGCGCCCACUCGUGAGCUCGCAGCACAGAUUAAUGAGGAGGCAAAGAAGUUUGCUCACAAAACUGGACUCAAAGUUAAGGUGGCCUAUGGAGGAACUUCAAUUGUUCAACAGCUACGUGAUAUAGAGAAAGGCGCAGAUAUUCUUGUUGCUACACCCGGGCGCCUUGUGGACAUGAUUGAAAGAGGAAAGAUCUCUCUUGAGGCAAUUAAGUACCUGAUAAUGGACGAGGCUGACAGGAUGCUGGAUAUGGGGUUUGAGCCUCAGAUAAGGAAGAUUGUUGAUGGGAUGGGUAUGCCACGAAAGUCUGUGAGACAAACUAUGCUGUUCAGUGCAACCUUCCCACCAGAAAUACAGAGACUGGCUUCAGACUUUUUGUCAAAGUACAUAUUUAUCACUGUUGGGAGGGUGGGUUCAAGUACUGACCUAAUUACACAGCAAGUUGAGUUUGUCACUCACGACGAGAAAAGGACCUACCUGAUAGAUCUCUUACAGAAGCAAUCUUUCACUUCAUCUGAUGGCAAGCCUCAGCAGCCUCUAACAUUGGUUUUUGUGGAGACAAAACGAGAAGCUGAUUCAUUGAGGUAUUGGCUAUACAACAAAGGUUUCCCUGCAACAGCGAUCCAUGGUGACAGAACACAAGAGGAGAGGGAAAGCGCACUGAGAUCCUUCAAGUCUGGCUUGACCCCUGUCAUGGUCGCCACUGAUGUUGUCGCGCGAGGCCUGGAUGUCCCAAAUGUUGCUCAUGUCAUCAACUACGAUCUUCCCAAGAGCAUAGAGGAUUACGUCCACAGGAUUGGAAGAACUGGGAGAGCUGGAAAUGCUGGCAGUGCCACCGCCUUCUUCACUGAAUCCAACCACCCCAUAGCAAAGGGAUUACUGGAACUGAUGACCGAGGCAAAACAGAAUGUUCCUCCCUGGCUAGAGGACUAUGCAGGGAAGCCAUUCUAUGGAGGGUCAAGCUUCGGCGGAAGAGGUCGAAGGUCCAAUGGCGAUGGUGGCAGCAGCUCUGGUGGCAGAGAUUAUCGCGGUGGCAGCGACUAUUCUGGCUACUCUGGCGGUGGUGGCGGUGGCAGGAGCUACUCUGGUGUUGGUGGUGACCGCUACUCCAGUGGCAGCGGUGGUGACCGCUAUUCUGGUGGCGGCGGGGGUGGUGACCGCUACUCCGGCGGCAGGAGCUACUCUGGUGGUGGUGGUGGUGACCGCUAUUCCGGUGGCGGUGGUGGUGGUGGUGACCGCUACUCCGNNNNNNNNNNNNNNNNNNNNNNNNNNNNNNNNNNNNNNNNNNNNNNNNNNNNNNNNNNNGGCGGUGGCAGGAGCUUCUCUGGUGCUGGUGGUGGCGGUGACAGCUACUCGGGCGGUGGCGGAGACAGGAGCUACUCUGGUGGUGACAGCUACUCCGGUGGCGGUGGCAAGAGCUACUCCGGUGGUGGUGGUGGUGGCAGAUACUCCAGUGGCGGGGGCUCCUCAAGGGCAAGCGAUCCACCUCCACGCUACUACCCAUCCCACCCCAUGGGCACGUCAAACAUCAGCGCCUCUGGCUGGGACUAG